AAGCCAGACUCCUACGGGAGGCAGCAGUGGGGGAUAUUGCACAAUGGGGGGAACCCUGAUGCAGCGACGCCGCGUGGGUGAAGAAGCGCCUCGGCGCGUAAAGCCCUGUCAGCAGGGAAGAAAAUGACGGUACCUGAAGAAGAAGCCCCGGCUAACUACGUGCCAGCAGCCGCGGUAAUACGUAGGGGGCAAGCGUUAUCCGGAUUUACUGGGUGUAAAGGGAGCGUAGACGGCAGUGCAAGUCCGGAGUGAAAGCCCGGGGCUCAACCCUGGGACUGCUCUGGAAACUGUAAAGCUGGAGUGCGGGAGGGGCAGGCGGAAUUCCUGGUGUAGCGGUGAAAUGCGUAGAUAUCAGGAGGAACACCGGCGGCGAAGGCGGCCUGCUGGACCGUAACUGACGUUGAGGCUCGAAAGCGUGGGGAGCAAACAGGAUUAGAUACCCCUGUA
RNAcentral lists this ribosomal RNA (447 nucleotides) under uncultured bacterium. RNAcentral describes it as "bacterial SSU rRNA". It matches the Rfam family "Bacterial small subunit ribosomal RNA", at positions 328 to 792 of the family's 1533-position model. The record is from RNAcentral.